Molecule: ribosomal RNA, 347 nt
Filed under: uncultured bacterium
Lineage: Bacteria
Description: bacterial SSU rRNA
Rfam family: Bacterial small subunit ribosomal RNA
Source: RNAcentral
GAUGAACGCUAGCUACAGGCUUAACACAUGCAAGUCGAGGGGCAGCAAGAAUCACUUCGGUGAUUUGUUGGCGACCGGCGCACGGGUGAGUAACACGUAUCCAACCUGGCUUAUACUCAGGGAUAGCCUUUCGAAAGAAAGAUUAAUACUUGAUAGCAUAAAUUGACCGCAUGGUUGAUUUAUUAAAGAUUUAUUGGUAUGAGAUGGGGAUGCGUUCCAUUAGCUUGUUGGUAAGGUAACGGCUUACCAAGGCAUCGAUGGAUAGGGGUUCUGAGAGGAAGGUCCCCCACACUGGAACUGAGACACGGUCCAGACUCCUACGGGAGGCAGCAGAGAGGAAUAUUGGU